RNAcentral lists this ribosomal RNA (1358 nucleotides) under uncultured bacterium. RNAcentral's name for it is "bacterial SSU rRNA". It matches the Rfam family "Bacterial small subunit ribosomal RNA", at positions 28 to 1381 of the family's 1533-position model. The record is from RNAcentral.
GAUGAACGCUAGCUACAGGCUUAACACAUGCAAGUCGAGGGGCAGCAUGGUCUUAGCUUGCUAAGGCCGAUGGCGACCGGCGCACGGGUGAGUAACACGUAUCCAACCUGCCGUCUACUCUUGGACAGCCUCCUGAAAGGAAGAUUAAUACAAGAUGGCAUCAUGAGUCCGCAUGUUCACAUGAUUAAAGGUAUUCCGGUAGACGAUGGGGAUGCGUUCCAUUAGAUAGUAGGCGGGGUAACGGCCCACCUAGUCUUCGAUGGAUAGGGGUUCUGAGAGGAAGGUCCCCCACAUUGGAACUGAGACACGGUCCAAACUCCUACGGGAGGCAGCAGUGAGGAAUAUUGGUCAAUGGGCGAGAGCCUGAACCAGCCAAGUAGCGUGAAGGAUGACUGCCCUAUGGGUUGUAAACUUCUUUUAUAAAGGAAUAAAGUCGGGUAUGGAUACCCGUUUGCAUGUACUUUAUGAAUAAGGAUCGGCUAACUCCGUGCCAGCAGCCGCGGUAAUACGGAGGAUCCGAGCGUUAUCCGGAUUUAUUGGGUUUAAAGGGAGCGUAGAUGGAUGUUUAAGUCAGUUGUGAAAGUUUGCGGCUCAACCGUAAAAUUGCAGUUGAUACUGGAUAUCUUGAGUGCAGUUGAGGCAGGCGGAAUUCGUGGUGUAGCGGUGAAAUGCUUAGAUAUCACGAAGAACUCCGAUUGCGAAGGCAGCCUGCUAAGCUGCAACUGACAUUGAGGCUCGAAAGUGUGGGUAUCAAACAGGAUUAGAUACCCUGGUAGUCCACACGGUAAACGAUGAAUACUCGCUGUUUGCGAUAUACUGCAAGCGGCCAAGCGAAAGCGUUAAGUAUUCCACCUGGGGAGUACGCCGGCAACGGUGAAACUCAAAGGAAUUGACGGGGGCCCGCACAAGCGGAGGAACAUGUGGUUUAAUUCGAUGAUACGCGAGGAACCUUACCCGGGCUUAAAUUGCAGAUGAAUUACGGUGAAAGCCGUAAGCCGCAAGGCAUCUGUGAAGGUGCUGCAUGGUUGUCGUCAGCUCGUGCCGUGAGGUGUCGGCUUAAGUGCCAUAACGAGCGCAACCCUUGUUGUCAGUUACUAACAGGUUCCGCUGAGGACUCUGACAAGACUGCCAUCGUAAGAUGUGAGGAAGGUGGGGAUGACGUCAAAUCAGCACGGCCCUUACGUCCGGGGCUACACACGUGUUACAAUGGGGGGUACAGAGGGCCGCUACCACGCGAGUGGAUGCCAAUCCCCAAAACCUCUCUCAGUUCGGACUGGAGUCUGCAACCCGACUCCACGAAGCUGGAUUCGCUAGUAAUCGCGCAUCAGCCACGGCGCGGUGAAUACGUUCCCGGGCCU